AACCUUACCAGGGCUUGACAUUCAGGGUGAAGCGGCGGAAANCGUCGUGGCCGAGAGGAGCCUGAACAGGUGGUGCAUGGCUGUCGUCAGCUCGUGUCGUGAGAUGUUGGGUUAAGUCCCGCAACGAGCGCAACCCUCGUCGCAUGUUGCCAGCGGUUCGGCCGGGCACCCAUGCGAGACCGCCGGCGUUAAGCCGGAGGAAGGUGGGGACGACGUCAAGUCAUCAUGCCCCUUAUGUCCUGGGCUGCACACGUGCUACAAUGGUCGGCACAAUGGGCUGCCAGCCCGCGAGGGCGAGCGAAUCCCUAAAGCCGGCCCCAGUUCGGAUUGGAGGCUGCAACCCGCCUCCAUGAAGUCGGAGUUGCUAGUAAUCGCGGAUCAGCACGCCGCGGUGAAUGCGUUCCCGGGCCUUGUACACACCGCCCGUCACACCACCCGAGUCGAUUGCACCCGAAGUCGCCGGCCCAACCCGCAAGGGAGGGAGGCGCCGAAGGUGUGGUUGGUAAGGGGGGUGAAGUCGUAACAAGGUAGCCGUACGAGAACGUGCGGCUGGAUCACCU
RNAcentral lists this ribosomal RNA (560 nucleotides) under uncultured Atopobium sp. RNAcentral describes it as "bacterial SSU rRNA". It matches the Rfam family "Bacterial small subunit ribosomal RNA", at positions 967 to 1528 of the family's 1533-position model. The record is from RNAcentral. Lineage: Bacteria; Bacillati; Actinomycetota; Coriobacteriia; Coriobacteriales; Atopobiaceae.